Non-coding RNA from Acanthosepion pharaonis, 113 nucleotides. Lineage: Eukaryota; Metazoa; Mollusca; Cephalopoda; Sepiida; Sepiidae. The record is from the annotation of a GenBank genome assembly.
UAUGGCCACAUCCUGUUGAAACAACGGUUCCCAUAUGAUCACCAAAGUUAAGCAACAUUGAGCUUGGUUAGUACCUAAAUGGGAGACCACUUGGGAAUACCAGAUGCUGUAAG